Molecule: ribosomal RNA, 253 nt
Filed under: uncultured bacterium
Lineage: Bacteria
Description: partial 16S ribosomal RNA
Rfam family: Bacterial small subunit ribosomal RNA
Source: RNAcentral
UACGAAGGGUGCUAGCGUUGUUCGGAAUUACUGGGCGUAAAGCGUACGUAGGCGGCUUUGUAAGUCGAUUGUGAAAGCCCUAAGCUCAACUUAGGAACUGCAACCGAUACUGCUCGGCUAGAGUUUAGUGGGGGAUGGUGGAAUUUCUAGUGUAGGGGUGAAAUCCGUAGAUAUUAGAAGGAAUACCGGUGGCGAAAGCGACCAUCUACGCUAAUACUGACGCUAAGGUACGAAAGCGUGGGGAGCAAACAGG